RNAcentral lists this ribosomal RNA (520 nucleotides) under uncultured Glomus. Its description in RNAcentral is "SSU rRNA". It matches the Rfam family "Eukaryotic small subunit ribosomal RNA", at positions 569 to 1091 of the family's 1831-position model. Lineage: Eukaryota; Fungi; Glomeromycota; Glomeromycetes; Glomerales; Glomeraceae. The record is from RNAcentral.
AGCAGCCGCGGUAAUUCCAGCUCCAAUAGCGUAUAUUAAAGUUGUUGCAGUUAAAAAGCUCGUAGUUGAAUUUCGGGAUCAAUAUAUCGGUCGUGCCAUUGGUACGUACUGGUAUCAUUGGUUUCUCCUUUCUGACGAACCAUGAUGUCAUUAAUUUGGUGUUAUGGGAAGUUAGGACUGUUACUUUGAAAAAUUAGAGUGUUUAAAGCAGGCUUUAGCUUGAAUACAUUAGCAUGGAAUAAUGAAAUAGGACGUUCGAACCUAUUUUGUUGGUCUCUAGGAUCAACGUAAUGAUUAAUAGGGAUAGUUGGGGGCAUUAGUAUUCAAUUGUCAGAGGUGAAAUUCUUGGAUUUAUUGAGGACUAACUACUGCGAAAGCAUUUGCCAAGGAUGUUUUCAUUAAUCAAGAACGAAAGUUAGGGAAUCGAAGACGAUCAGAUACCGUCGUAGUCUUAACCAUAAACUAUGCCGACUAGGGAUCGGAUGAUGUUAAUUUUUAAUGUACUCAUUCGGCGCCUUAA